This is a non-coding RNA of Nematostella vectensis (starlet sea anemone), 85 nucleotides long. The record is from Rfam. Lineage: Eukaryota; Metazoa; Cnidaria; Anthozoa; Actiniaria; Edwardsiidae.
AACCCAGGGGUAUUUUGCUCUAACGUUUCACUCGCUAAAAAGUUUUUUUCGCGAGUGAAACGUUAGAGGAAAAUAACCCUGUGUU